Non-coding RNA from Caenorhabditis elegans, 21 nucleotides. NCBI's taxonomy places the organism in Eukaryota, Metazoa, Nematoda, Chromadorea, Rhabditida, Rhabditidae. The record is from Ensembl.
UUGACUUCAUAGUGAUUUUUU